Camellia sinensis is the source of this 743-nucleotide non-coding RNA. The record is from RefSeq and is a predicted model, not a curated record. NCBI's taxonomy places the organism in Eukaryota, Viridiplantae, Streptophyta, Magnoliopsida, Ericales, Theaceae.
AUCGACAAACAACGACGCGAUGACGAACAAUUCAUCGCUGAGCUGCUCUGGUUCUCCCUCAAUCUCUCCACUGUAGGGUUUUGACUUUAUUGCGAUUUGAUCUGCUCUGGUUUUAUUUUAAUUUUAAUUUGAGCAGGUGGGUAUGACAAAGAAGAGAAAGCAGCUAGGGCUUAUGAUAUGGUUGCACUGAAGUACUGGGGAACAUCUACCACUACAAACUUCCCUAUCAGUAAUUACGAAAAGGAACUUGAGGAGAUGAAACACAUGACCAGGCAAGAAUUUGUAGCCUCAAUUAGAAGGUUUUAACUCAUUUGCUGAGAAUGGAUAGAUGAGCAUCACAAUAUGUGCUGAUUUAAUAUUGAUUUAAAGCAUCUCAUAAAGCAUAAAGGUAGGGACAUAAAGCUUAACUCAUAAAGCAUCUCCUACAACUACAUAAAGAUGACUUUGUUGCGUGGACUUGCAGAGAUAUUUUGGUGUAUGGAGAAGAAAUUGCAUUUUUGUAUAGAAGUAAUAUAAUACUUUUGUCGUCUCCAGCUUUUGUACAGUUAACUAUUACUGAUACAGAAAACUUUUGGUAGUGAACAGCUAAUUCCUGGCAUGGUAGAUAGAUUACAUUUUGAUGCCAUACAGGUAUAUAAUUUUUGUCGUGGUACAUAGAUGUAUUUUUGGCUUGGUACAUACAUCACCUUUUGUCGUGGUACAGAUUACGGUGGUAAUUUGUACCAUGCCAAAUGGUCAUUUCA